CACACACCCAUUCCUCACCGUGGCUUCUCCUUGCUCGCCGGCUAAAGCAGAGGACGUGCACGGUUGAUCUAACCAGGUCUAAUGUCAGACUUCCCGUGGCGUUAACGACGCGUAGCUGCCUCGUCUCUUCAUCGUGGUCCCCAGAGGAUGCAUCUCACUGACUUUGAUGUUGCCCCGACUUCCCUCGAGCACCACUAUUAGGGGGUCAAUUGAAAUGAGAAUAUUUUCCACCUCUUAGGUUGCAAAUUGUGUGAGAAACAGAACACAGAGAAGAGAAGAAGCGGAAGGUGCGUCCGCAGCCGCAGGAGGGCAGAGCUCAAGAGAGGAAACACUCUGCACUCGUGGAAAUAACAAGUUGUUCAGCAAACAACAACAAAAAUGCGGGCAGAGCAGACAGGCCGGAGCCACUGAAGCACAAUGAAAUUAAGGCCCACACGAGGAAUAAUCGUACCUACUCCAAAACGUUUUUGUUCAUCCACAGCAGAGCUACCUGUUUUUGAGCGUAGUGUAGUUAUUACUGUUAUCGUCCUUUCUUGUGACACAGUCAGUCCUCAAUGACUUGACAAAGCACAGCCCGCAGGGUGAAGAGAUAAUCUCAUCACUGGUUUUCAACCAGUAGGAGACGGGACAGCAGUUGGCACGAGGUGGGGCCUGAGUGACAUAAAACUGCUUGUGGGACGUGUCCCCAAAGAUACUCUGCCUUUUGGACGCAGAUGGACGCUGGACUGUUGGACGGCAACUGCAGCCGGCUGGCUUUUUGAUGGAGUGAUGCAGCGAUCUACUUCCUCUGAGGACGUUUGUGUUUAGCAACCUUCAAUUGUUGACUAAAUGAGUUGUCAAAACCUUUUGGACGAUCAUUUUGCGGUGAUGAUUUGAAUUUGCACUUUUAUGACCUCUGUAAAGGUCGGUUGUUUUUACGUUUUUGCUUUAUUACAAAAUGCUGUUCACGUUAUAUGUUGUCGAGCACAUCUCCUUAUCACUUUUCCAGCCCAGCUAUCUAUCAAAUGUUUGUUGGACGGAGAACUGAUAAGGGUAUGUGUCUGACCCUUUCCUUCACUGAUAACUGGACAAAUGUUCUGAAACAAAGGUUAAUAAUAUGAACAAGUGACUUUCUCAUAAAGACAAACAGAUCAUAACUUUCUCAAUUUCAACGUUUGAUUCAAACAAAUAUUACAUUAAUGAUGAAUUAUAUUUGGCCAGAUAUUUUUGCUCUCUUUCUCACCAUAUCUGUCAUAUCAUUGUUCCGUAUCAAUGCUUUAAUUCAAGAACUUUAAGAACAGAUUAUUUAAUGGGAUUCCUGUUAAAUAAUAGCCAAGUUAUCAGCUGGUGCUUUUACCAUUUUUUGGGGGUUGCAUUGUUUGAUUUAUUCUUUUUUCUUCAAGACAAAAGGUGUCGAUGUGUUAUAUAAUCAUAUUUAUUUAUAUUCAUAUCACAAUUAAAUCCAAGCAUGUUGUUCACAACAGUUUUCAUCCCAGCAGGCAAAGUUUGUAUCCUUCCCUUCUUGUAAGUAUUUUUUACCUCUGUACAUCUGUUUUUUAUGCACUUCACAGAAAUAACUAUCUAACUAGUGUAUUCUCUCAAGAAUGAUACGGGUAGAGAUGAAGAUAAACAUUUUGUGGUAACAAAAAAAACAAAAUGCACUAUUUUCAUUUUUGUAUUUUGGUAAUGUGGCAAAAUGCUGAAUUGCAAAUAUUGCUCUGAAUCUAUAUUAAAAAAAAUGUUACAACAUUUCACAAGUGCACACGGCUUCAAACCGCCUCUCCAAGGAUAGAAGAAGAACAUUCAGUUGAAGACAAUACAUAAAUUACAAACUACCCCAUAUUAUAGAAGCGAGUAUUGAAGCGACUGCUCAGGCACAUGUAUAAAGUGUAAGCAGUGAGGAGGCACCUACGCAUGUGCACUUAAUGUUGCUUGUCCACAAACUUUGGUUAAAACUGGUAACUGCAAAUCCUCCAGAAUAAGAGGUCAAUUCUAGGCCCGGACGAUGCCUCACUUAUACCAAACAAGAGUACCGCUUCAAAACGCUGUUACAGUGUCCUACAACUACUCGUUUUGAGUAGUAUGAAUGCAUUUUUCUCUGCUUGGAACCAUGUUAUUCAUUUUAUUUUAUUGACUAUGCUGAAAUCAUACUAAGUGAAGCAAAAGGUUCCCAACAGGUACUUUUAUUUUUUGACUGUUAUUUAAGGCGUGGCGUGGUGAAUGGCGACAUGUGAUGGGGCUGCUUUCCGUGUUUUUUUUUAUUGCAUUCUUCUGGUUUUUCGUUUUUCUUUGCCAUUCAAAGAUGUUGGAUGUCGUUGUUAUGGAGGUCGAGUUGAAUUUGCAGUGUGCAUUGAGUGUCUCUUUGCUGUUCAAGGUGAAGGACGAUGGAUGAUGUAUGUUUUUUUACUUGUUUUAUUUUUGUUGAGACAUGUAGCGCGC
Long non-coding RNA from Gasterosteus aculeatus aculeatus (three-spined stickleback), 2418 nucleotides. The record is from Ensembl. Lineage: Eukaryota; Metazoa; Chordata; Actinopteri; Perciformes; Gasterosteidae.